Molecule: non-coding RNA, 24 nt
Filed under: Cricetulus griseus (Chinese hamster)
Lineage: Eukaryota; Metazoa; Chordata; Mammalia; Rodentia; Cricetidae
Source: RNAcentral
UUCAUGGGCUGCCUUAUGUAGCGG